GAUGAACGCUGGCGGCGGGCCUAACACAUGCAAGUCGAGCGAACACACGAGGAGCGUUCUCUCCUGACGGUAGCGGCGGACGGACGAGUAAGACGUGCAUAACAUACUAAUAAGACGGGGAGAACAUCGUGGAACCGGAGCCAAUAAUGGCUAAUAUGUUGAACGGCAGGGCGCAAUAGAUAAAGAGGCUUUGGCCGUUACUUACAGACGAAGCCGCAUUAGCUAGUUUGGAGGGUAACGGCUCACCAAGGCAACGCUCCGUAGCUGAUCUGAGAGGAUGAUCGGCCACACUGGAACUGAGACACGGUCCAGACUCCUACGGGAGGCAGCAGUAGGGAAUAUUCCACAAUGGGCGCAAGCCUGACGGAGCCAUGCCGCGUGAGUGAAGAAGGCCUUCGGAUCGUAAAACUCUGUUAUUAGGGAAGAACAAAUGUAUAAUUAACUAUGCCCGUCUUGACGGUACCUAAUCAGAAAGCCACGGCUAACUACGUG
RNAcentral lists this ribosomal RNA (492 nucleotides) under uncultured bacterium. RNAcentral describes it as "partial 16S ribosomal RNA". It matches the Rfam family "Bacterial small subunit ribosomal RNA", at positions 28 to 507 of the family's 1533-position model. The record is from RNAcentral.